AACGAACGCUGGCGGCAGGCCUAAUACAUGCAAGUCGAACGGGCGUAGCAAUACGUCAGUGGCGGACGGGUGAGUAACACGUGGGAACAUGCCUUUCGGUUCGGAAUAACGCAGGGAAACUUGCGCUAAUACCGGAUGACCCGGCGACGGAAAAGAUUUAUCGCCGAAAGAUUGGCCCGCGUAGGAUUAGCUAGUUGGUGAGGUAACGGCCCACCAAGGCGACGAUCCUUAGCUGGUUUGAGAGAACGAUCAGCCACACUGGGACUGAGACACGGCCCAGACUCCUACGGGAGGCAGCAGUAGGGAAUCUUGGACAAUGGGGGAAACCCUGAUCCAGCCAUGCCGCGUGAGUGAAGAAGGCCUU
RNAcentral lists this ribosomal RNA (364 nucleotides) under uncultured bacterium. RNAcentral's name for it is "bacterial SSU rRNA". It matches the Rfam family "Bacterial small subunit ribosomal RNA", at positions 29 to 418 of the family's 1533-position model. The record is from RNAcentral.